GAUGAACGCUAGCGGCAGGCUUAAUACAUGCAAGUCGUGGGGCAGCACAAUAUAGCAAUAUAUGGGUGGCGACCGGCAAACGGGUGCGCAACACGUACGCAACCUUCCUUUAGGCGGGGAAUAGCCCAGAGAAAUUUGGAUUAAUACCCCAUAAAAUUUUGAAAUGGCAUCACUUUAUUAUUAAAGCUUCGGCACCUAAAGAUGGGCGUGCGGCUGAUUAGGUAGUUGGCGGGGUAACGGCCCACCAAGCCUUCGAUCAGUAGCUGAUGUGAGAGCAUGAUCAGCCACACGGGCACUGAGACACGGGCCCGACUCCUACGGGAGGCAGCAGUAAGGAAUAUUGGUCAAUGGACGAAAGUCUGAACCAGCCAUGCCGCGUGGAGGAUGAAGGUCCUCUGGAUUGUAAACUUCUUUUAUCUGGGACGAAAAAAGGAAAUUCUUUUCC
Molecule: ribosomal RNA, 445 nt
Filed under: uncultured Chitinophagaceae bacterium
Lineage: Bacteria; Pseudomonadati; Bacteroidota; Chitinophagia; Chitinophagales; Chitinophagaceae
Description: bacterial SSU rRNA
Rfam family: Bacterial small subunit ribosomal RNA
Source: RNAcentral